RNAcentral lists this long non-coding RNA (1102 nucleotides) under Dromaius novaehollandiae (emu). Its description in RNAcentral is "lncRNA (ENSDNVG00000003114.1)". Lineage: Eukaryota; Metazoa; Chordata; Aves; Casuariiformes; Dromaiidae. The record is from RNAcentral.
AAACAGUGUCAUGUGCCUUGUUGCAGCUUAAUUCCUGGCUCCCUUCUAGUAGCUCACAUUGCAGUCUGCUGCUACCAGAAAAGUUAUGGAUACAUCACUGUAAGAAAUGCAGCCACCUUACUCAGGAUUGAUGGGCAGGACCCUUUAUUUCACACAAAGSUUUAACCUCUCUUCUGUCAGCUUGCCAUUUCCCCAAUUACAGUAUCUAAAGAAUGAUCCUGGGGUUGCACUAAUUGUGCACUGUACACAAACUGACCUUAAAUCCUGUCCCGUCCAGUCAUUUUCAAGGCUCAGCUACCUCAGCACCUCUUCUUCUGUAGCUCCGUCUAUGACAGCACUGUCCAACUAUGAUAACACAUUUUCUGUAUUCUCUGCAAGCAACUGUUCUAACGCUUCUCUGACAAUGACCAUGUGUUAUUGCAGGUGCAUUGUGAAACCCCCACCAGACUGGAGGAAAGAAGAGUUCAGCGCGUGCUCUGGACAAACACUCUAAGGCCAGCACAUCCUGCCGCAAGCCCCAGGAUACAAUAGUCUUCUGUGCUAGCUGUUGAGGAUCAYGGAGACUGCAUCAGCGUGAUUCGAGGUGUCGGCCAGGGAACGUUUGCAAACAUGGAAAGCUCCUGCUGUUGUGUUUUCACGCUACUUAUGUGACRGUGAAGAAUCAAACAGGAUUAUGCACAAGUGAUGGGCAAACAACACUGAAUGCAGCUGUUAAAUAUGUCUUUACUAGGAGGUCUUGGAAGACCUGAGGCACUACCAAAGUAGCUUUUUGUUGUGUUACGUACCACUGCAUGCAUUACUAAUAGUGAACAUUCAUGGCAAAUACUUCUCAUUUCCCACUAGGAAAUACAGAGGAAGAUAAGGGGAAAUGAUGAAGAGCGUUAACCUGGAGCCCGUAUUACUAAGAGUGAUGCAUGUUAAUUCAUUAAGAACAAGUAAAAAUGUGGUAGCUCUGUAGGGUCAAGAUGGAGAAGAAUAUAAAUAAUUUUGUAUCAGUAUUUGUUUGAUGAUUCAAGUCAACACAUGUUGAGUAGUCUGAUCAUACUACAGGCGCAAAGCUCCCUCUGCCCAUAAAGGCUAAUAAAGGCCCUAAUUGAUAGCA